RNAcentral lists this ribosomal RNA (253 nucleotides) under uncultured bacterium. RNAcentral describes it as "partial 16S ribosomal RNA". It matches the Rfam family "Bacterial small subunit ribosomal RNA", at positions 524 to 776 of the family's 1533-position model. The record is from RNAcentral.
UACGUAGGGGGCUAGCGUUGUCCGGAAUCAUUGGGCGUAAAGAGCGUGUAGGCGGUCCGGUAAGUCCGCUGUGAAAGUCGGGGGCUCAACCCUCGAAUGCCGGUGGAUACUGUCGGGCUAGAGUGCGGAAGAGGCGAGUGGAAUUCCUGGUGUAGCGGUGAAAUGCGCAGAUAUCAGGAGGAACACCUAUUGCGAAGGCAGCUCGCUGGGCUGUUGCUGACGCUGAGGCGCGACAGCGUGGGGAGCAAACAGG